RNAcentral lists this ribosomal RNA (446 nucleotides) under uncultured bacterium. RNAcentral's name for it is "partial 16S ribosomal RNA". It matches the Rfam family "Bacterial small subunit ribosomal RNA", at positions 338 to 795 of the family's 1533-position model. The record is from RNAcentral.
CCUACGGUGAGCAGCAGUCGAGAAUCAUUCACAAUGGGGGAAACCCUGAUGGUGCGACGCCGCGUGGGGGAAUGAAGGUCUUCGGAUUGUAAACCCCUGUCAUGUGGGAGCAAAUUAAAAAGAUAGUACCACAAGAGGAAGAGACGGCUAACUCUGUGCCAGCAGCCGCGGUAAUACAGAGGUCUCAAGCGUUGUUCGGAAGCACUGGGCGUAAAGCGUGCGUAGGCUGUUUCGUAAGUCGUGUGUGAAAGGCGCGGGCUCAACCCGCGGACGGCACAUGAUACUGCGAGACUAGAGUAAUGGAGGGGGAACCGGAAUUCUCGGUGUAGCAGUGAAAUGCGUAGAUAUCGAGAGGAACACUCGUGGCGAAGGCGGGUUCCUGGACAUUAACUGACGCUGAGGCACGAAGGCCAGGGGAGCGAAAGGGAUUAGAUACCCCAGUAGUC